RNAcentral lists this ribosomal RNA (433 nucleotides) under uncultured bacterium. RNAcentral's name for it is "partial 16S ribosomal RNA". It matches the Rfam family "Bacterial small subunit ribosomal RNA", at positions 29 to 507 of the family's 1533-position model. The record is from RNAcentral.
AACGAACGCUGGCGGCAUGCCUAACACAUGCAAGUCGAACGAGACCUUCGGGUCUAGUGGCGCACGGGUGCGUAACGCGUGGGAAUCUGCCCUUGGGUUCGGAAUAACAGUUGGAAACGACUGCUAAUACCGGAUGAUGACGUAAGUCCAAAGAUUUAACGCCCAAGGAUGAGCCCGCGUAGGAUUAGCUAGUUGGUGAGGUAAAGGCUCACCAAGGCGACGAUCCUUAGCUGGUCUGAGAGGAUGAUCAGCCACACUGGGACUGAGACACGGCCCAGACUCCUACGGGAGGCAGCAGUGGGGAAUAUUGGACAAUGGGCGAAAGCCUGAUCCAGCAAUGCCGCGUGAGUGAUGAAGGCCUUAGGGUUGUAAAGCUCUUUUACCCGGGAUGAUAAUGACAGUACCGGGAGAAUAAGCUCCGGCUAACUCCGUG